CUAAUCAGGCCCAUCCCUGCUUAGCUUCCAAGAUCAGAGGAGAUGGGCGCAUGCAGGGUGACAUGGCCGUAGAC
This 74-nucleotide small RNA is filed under the name Cricetulus griseus (Chinese hamster). The record is from RNAcentral. Lineage: Eukaryota; Metazoa; Chordata; Mammalia; Rodentia; Cricetidae.